RNAcentral lists this unclassified non-coding RNA (297 nucleotides) under uncultured fungus. RNAcentral describes it as "partial contains small subunit ribosomal RNA, internal transcribed spacer 1, and 5.8S ribosomal RNA". The stretch from base 1 to 73 matches the Rfam family "Eukaryotic small subunit ribosomal RNA", at positions 1759 to 1831 of the family's 1831-position model. Lineage: Eukaryota; Fungi. The record is from RNAcentral.
ACAAACUUGGUCAUUUAGAGGAAGUAAAAGUCGUAACAAGGUUUCCGUAGGUGAACCUGCGGAAGGAUCAUUCACAAUAAAGUGUUUUUACUAGCACUUUUUAAAAAAAUCUAGUAUCCACCUUGUGUGCAACGUAAUUGUAUGAAGCCAAAGAUAGUUUUUAAUUAUCUUUGUUGGAUUAUAAUUUAACACCAACCGAUCUAUAACGUUUUGUCUGAAUUUAUUCUGAAAAUUUAAUUUCAAAAUAUAACUUUCAACAACGGAUCUCUUGGCUCUCGCAUCGAUGAAGAACGCAGC